GGACUACUGGGGUAUCUAAUCCUGUUUGCUACCCACGCUUUCGUGUCUCAGCGUCAGUGAUGGUCCAGAAAGCCGUCUACACCGCAGGUGUUCCUCCUGAUAUCUACGCAUUUCACCGCUACACCAGGAAUUCCGCUUUCCCCUCCCAUACUCAAGCCCCCCAGUUUCCGGCGCACCCUCCCGGUUGAGCCGGGAGAUUUCACACCGAACUUAGAGAACCGCCUACACACUCUUUACGCCCAGUAACUCCGAACAACGCUUGCUGCCUACGUAUUACCGCGGCGGCUGGCAC
Molecule: ribosomal RNA, 292 nt
Filed under: uncultured Acidobacteriota bacterium
Lineage: Bacteria; Pseudomonadati; Acidobacteriota
Description: uncultured Acidobacteria bacterium partial 16S ribosomal RNA
Source: RNAcentral